GUUGUGGAACUGAGAAUUUUUGUGAUUGAAAAGUUGAAUUUCUUGUGCGAAAUGGCCAUCUGGGUUUACAUCAGCCGAUGCAAUGGCUUAGAAUGUCCUGGAUGUUACGAAAUAAUGUCGUGAGAUUGUUCGAAAAGAAAUGCUUGUACGAGAUUCAAACAUGUUCAUCGCUGCUCCAAAGGGAUACGAAACUUCGCAUGACACACAAAUUAAGAAAUAACACCGAGGCUUCUGCUGGCGAGAAAAGCG
Dendronephthya gigantea is the source of this 249-nucleotide long non-coding RNA. RefSeq lists it as uncharacterized. NCBI's taxonomy places the organism in Eukaryota, Metazoa, Cnidaria, Anthozoa, Malacalcyonacea, Nephtheidae. The transcript has 3 exons. The record is from RefSeq and is a predicted model, not a curated record.